RNAcentral lists this long non-coding RNA (1420 nucleotides) under Mustela putorius furo (domestic ferret). RNAcentral's name for it is "lncRNA (ENSMPUG00000025681.1)". The record is from RNAcentral. Lineage: Eukaryota; Metazoa; Chordata; Mammalia; Carnivora; Mustelidae.
UUCUUUCUUUCUUUAAUUUGACAGAUCACAAGUAGGCAGAGAGGAGGCAGCAGGCUCCCCACUGAGCAGAGAACCUGAUGCUGGGCUCGAUCCCAGGACCCUGAAAUCAUGACCCGAGCCAAAGGCAAAGGCUUUAACCCACUGAGCCACCCAGAGAACACAAACAGGGGAAGUGUCAGGAUGAGGGAGAGGGAGAAGCAGGCUGCCCACCGAGCAGGGAGCCCAACGUGGGGCUCAAUCCAAGGACCCUGGCAUCAUCACUCAAGCCGAAGGCAGACUCUCAACCGACUGAGUCACUCAGGUCACCCAAACAACUGCAUUUUUAUGAUAUUCCCCAAAUCAUUUUUUGAAGCAUAUGUCAGUCUACGAAAUAUUUAAAGGAUUGUGAGUAUGCAAGGAGCUGUUGUGGGAAAUUGAGAAGAGUUAGAGAAGCACGAGAAGACAUAACCCUGGGUCAUAUAGCGCCACGUGGCCAUGAAACAGAGUUUCCCUGUGAAGCCCUGGCCAAUGUUGUUGAGAGGGAUACUGAAAGCAUAAAUGUAAAAAGGAAAACAACAGAAGACAGGAGAAAAUACACAUUAAAUUUUUCCCAGUCACAAGGUAGAGACUUUGUAAACAUAUAAGCAAAGGAAGGAAACAGUAUGGCCAGGUUUGACUUCAUGAAUGUUAAAUAUUUCAGUAUGUCAAAAAAAAAAAAAAAAAAAACCACAACAUACACACAUAAAAAAGUUAGAAUAGGCAAUUCCCAAAGAAAAUAAAAUUGUCUAUAUAUGAAAAAAUGUGUGUUAAAUCAUAUUAAAAAUGCUUUUUUUUUUUUUUAAAGGAGGGACUGCACUCAACAUGGGGCUCAAACAACCCCAAGAUUAAAAAUUAUGUGCUCUACCAACUGAGCCAACCAGGUGCACCUAAAAAUGUGAUUUUUAUUUUUAUUAUUUCUUAAAUGACUUUUGAAAAAAAUCCACAUAUAACUGAGAUCAUGCAGUACUUGUUUUUCUCUGACUUAUUUCACUUGGCUCAGUGCCUGCAAUUCCACUUUUUUUUUCAAGAUUUUGUUGAGAGAGAGAGAGAGCACACACAGGAGUUGGGGAAGGGGCAGAGGGAGAAGGAGAAGCAGACUCCUUGCUGAGCAGGAAGCCCAACUCUGGGCUCGAUCUGCACUGUGAGAUAUCGACUUGAGCCAAAGGCAGACUCUUAACCACCCAGGUGCCCUCUGAAAUGGCACUUUUAACUCCUCAAAUUGGCAACUACUUUCUACCAAAAUAUAUGGUAAUGCUGUGGCAUAGAGAAUAGGGAAUAAGCAAAGCCACCUGUUAGUAGAAUGCGUUUGGUACAAUUUUUCUGAAAUGCAUUUGGAAGAAUAUAUCAAAAAGAAAAUACUCCUACCCUUCGAAAUCAAUUCUGCUUCUAGGAACGUCUCUUU